CCGUCUUAUGCCAAUGCUCGGUCAGCUGCCUUCACCCGGGCUGAUCUUGAGCCGGAUGCCCAUUGCUACGGCGCGGGCACAAGACAAGAGGAACGUCCUAGACAACGCUUUUUGAGUACGAAACCUUCCGUGAUGCCACCAGAUGAAGGUCUUCGUAAUUUACUUGUUGUUACAUUG
This 177-nucleotide small nucleolar RNA is filed under the name Ophiocordyceps sinensis. Lineage: Eukaryota; Fungi; Ascomycota; Sordariomycetes; Hypocreales; Ophiocordycipitaceae. The record is from RNAcentral. RNAcentral also lists the same sequence under 1 other name.